Molecule: long non-coding RNA, 2561 nt
Filed under: Homo sapiens (human)
Lineage: Eukaryota; Metazoa; Chordata; Mammalia; Primates; Hominidae
Description: HSALNT0064578
Source: RNAcentral
GUUCUCAUGAUAGUGAAUGAGUCUCAUGAGAUCUGAUGGUUUUAAAAAGAGGAGAUUCCCUGCACAAGCUCUCUUUUUGCCUGCCACCAUCCAUGUAAGAUGUGACUUGCUCCUCCUUGCCUUCUGCCAUGAUUGUGAGGCCUCCCCAGCCACUUGGAACUGAAGCAAACACUGCUAUUGCCACCUUUUUGCAGAGGAAGGUACUGAGGUGAAGCGACUUGCCCAAACCCUACAAAAAGCACUGUGCCAGGUGCUGGAUUUAUAACCACAAAAACAGAGGGGCAGAAUGUCUGCAUUUCCAGUGGGCAAGACAGACAAUGUGCCUAUCUGUGCAUUUCCUUGUAAAAUCCAGCUUUCGCAAGAGCAUGAACAAAUCAGUUUGGCAAGACCUCCCCACCCUCAACAUCUGAUCACGUGUCUCAUCCUCCAUGAUGCCACAGCUCAGAACUCUGCAGAGCCACCACCAGCAAGAAGGUCCUCACCAGAUGCAGCCCCUUGACCUUAGACUUCUCACCUUCAAGAACUGUAAGUGGUCUUCAGGGCUGUCUCCAUGAAGUCAUCACCAGCCUUCCCAGGCCAGGACUCUCCAUGCCAUCCUUAGCAAGGAGAAGAAAACAAAUACCCGGCAUCCAUUUCCAGGUCCUGCAUGAUGUGAUGGUGAGUCUCGCAAACAUUAGCCAUCCUAAUCACAUGCCUUUGCUCCCUCCACUCCACUCACACAAGUAUUUGGUAAUUACAUCCUUCCUCUCCCUAGGGGCAUUUGCAUAUGUUGAUUACUCUGCCUGAACCUGCUUUUCCCUCCCAUCUGCACCUAAUUAAUGCUUACUCAGCCAAGCAUUACUUCCCCAGAAUCCUGGCCAAGUCUAAUGCCCAUUAUGUGAGUUGUUGGGGCACCCUGUCUCUCUCCUCUAUAGACCUUCUCCUUUUGUAAGUUUGUAUCUGUUUCCCUAAUGAUUUGACUAAAUGUCUGUCUGGCCCAUUAGGGUGAAAACUUAGACUCUGUUAUGGGUUGCAUUGUGUCCCCACAAACAAGAUAAUGUUGAAGUCCUAAUCCCAAAUGCCUGUACAUAUGUCCUUAUUUGGUACUUGGGUCUUCGCAGAUUUCAGCAAGUUAUGAUGAGGUCAUUAGGGUCAGCUGAGUUCAUAUGACUGAUGUCCUUAUAAGAGGAGGGAAAUCUGGACACAAACAUUGACCCACAGGGAGAGGGGAGAACACUUGUGAAGACACCAAGACACACAGACAGAGGGAAGAUGGCCAUGUGCAGAUGGAGGCAGGGACUGGACUUAUGCUGCCACAAGACAAGAAACACCUGGGGCUGCCAGAUGCCGGAAAAGGCAGGGAAGAGUCCUCCUCCAGAGUCUUCAGAGAGAACAUGACUCUGCAAGCACCUUGAUUUCAGACCUCUAGCCUCCAGACCUGUGAGAAUAAAUGUCUAUUGGUGUUAGGCACCCAGUUUGUAAUACUUUGUUACAGCGGCCCUAGGAAACUAAUACACACCAUAACCCAUAUGAGGGCAAGAACCUUAUGUAUUUUUACUCAGCAUUGACUUCCUAACUUCUAUCUCAGAAGAAGUGCCUGGUUAUGUAAUCAUUCCCUGUAACAAUAAUCUUUAAAUAAGGAAGGUGAUUUUCACAAUUACCUAGGGAACUUUUACCAGGUGGGCAAGAGCCCACCAUGAAGUCUACCCCAAGAAGAUUCACCCACAUAUCUAUAAAACAUUUAAUAAAAGAAAGAAAUCUUCCUUCUUAUACCAGAUUUCCGUAGCAAGUAUUACCUGAGUCAUUAGGGCAGCACGCCCUUCUUUCCCUGAAUUAUCUGGGUAAUUGCACAACUGCUUCACUUCGGUUGCAUAGAUAGUUAACUGCGCACAUUUGGUGUGGUAAUUGGGUAGUGGCCAAGGAACACAAAAUACAUGGCUUCAAAGCAGGUGCUUACAAAAAGGACUCCACUUAAACUGAAAUUCAGCCCAAAGAGUUGAUUAGAAACAACUCAAAAGGGUCAGUUAGUGAGUCUGAGCACUGGGGGAAAGGGGCAAAUAAUACUGUCUUUUUCUUUAAACCUAGUCAGAAGAGAAGACAGGAAUAUAUGAAACAGGAGCAAUCACAAGAACGUAACAGAGGACACAGGUGUCAUGUUCAUGGCACAGAACAGAAGCCCCAUAGAGUUCAAAAGACGGGAUGACUGGAGAUAUCCUUGACACAUUGAGCUAAAAAAAAAAACUAAAAACAAGGCCAGGCACAGUGGCUCACACCUGUAAUCCCAGUACUUUGGGAGGCCAAGGUGGGUGGAUCGCCUGCGGUCAGGAGUUCGAGACCAGCCUAGCCAACAUGGCGAAAUCCCAUCUCUACUAAAAUACAAAAAUUAGCUGGGGGUGGUGGCAAGUGCCUGUAAUCCCACCUACUCGGGAGGCUGAGGCAGGAGAAUUGCUUGAACCUGGGAGGUGGAGCUUGCAGUGAGCCGAGAUCACGCCACUACACUUGAGCCUUGAGCCUGGGCGACAGAGCAAGACUCUAUCUCAAAAAUAAAUAAAUAAAUAAAUAAAUAAAUAAACAAAAAAGCA